GGUAGCACCCGGACGGGUGCCGCGUGAGUCCGGGGGGUGCGAGCGUGAAGCGGAAUUACUAGGCGUGAAGCGCACGCAGUCGGUUUGAUAAGUUAGAUGUGAAAGGCCCGGGCUCAAACUGGGAAUUGCAGUGAAAACUGUCCAGCUAGAGUCUUGUGGAGGGGGGUAGAAUUCCAGGUGUAGCGGUGAAGUGCGUAUAGAUCUGGAGGAAUACCGGUGGCGAAGGCGGCCCCCUGGACAAAGACUGACGCUCAGGUGCGAAUGCGUGGGGAGCAAACAGGAUUAGAUACCCUGGUAGUC
RNAcentral lists this ribosomal RNA (300 nucleotides) under uncultured bacterium. RNAcentral's name for it is "bacterial SSU rRNA". It matches the Rfam family "Bacterial small subunit ribosomal RNA", at positions 495 to 795 of the family's 1533-position model. The record is from RNAcentral.